GCCUUUUGGCCCCUCAAUACUCCCACGUUCCACAAGGCCCUCAAUGAUCCAGCCCCAGGGGAAGCUGUGAGACCCCGUGGUCUCCCUGACAGGCAGGGCAGCCCAAUGCACCCGCACCAUGUCUUCCCCAAACAAUGACUGCUCACCCACCCCGACCAGCACAGACAUCUUCCCGUCUAUUUGUUCCCUCUACGUCUCCCCAGUGGAUGCACUUGUUGCACGUGUUGGUCCCUGACUCACCUUGGUAAGGUGGGGUGCGCGGUGGUAAGAGGUCCCGUUUCACUGCGUGGCGUAGCAGCUGAAACCCGUUUGUGCCUUGCCCAGGGGCUCUUUCCCUGAGUUCUCCGAGAGCCUCAGUGGCUGAGUGGUUCACAUGUCUGGCUUGAGACGAUCCUGUGCAAGUGGAAACACACGUCUGAGGAUGCUCUGAGGCCUCCGCCUGGCAGACCCGUCAGCAUGAGGCACCUACACUCUACCAGACCUUCUGUUGGACCCAGUCCAGUU
RNAcentral lists this long non-coding RNA (504 nucleotides) under Homo sapiens (human). RNAcentral's name for it is "HSALNT0132537". The record is from RNAcentral. Lineage: Eukaryota; Metazoa; Chordata; Mammalia; Primates; Hominidae.